Molecule: microRNA, 22 nt
Filed under: Macaca fascicularis (crab-eating macaque)
Lineage: Eukaryota; Metazoa; Chordata; Mammalia; Primates; Cercopithecidae
Description: novel_miR62-5p
Source: RNAcentral
UUUUGGAUUUUUGCAUUUGGCA